UACAGAACAAGUGGCUCCUCA
RNAcentral lists this non-coding RNA (21 nucleotides) under Mus musculus (house mouse). Lineage: Eukaryota; Metazoa; Chordata; Mammalia; Rodentia; Muridae. The record is from RNAcentral.